RNAcentral lists this transfer RNA (40 nucleotides) under Dicranum scoparium. RNAcentral describes it as "partial tRNA-Phe". It matches the Rfam family "tRNA", at positions 1 to 39 of the family's 71-position model. From Rfam's summary of the family: Transfer RNA (tRNA) molecules are approximately 80 nucleotides in length. RNAcentral also lists the same sequence under 470 other names. The record is from RNAcentral. Lineage: Eukaryota; Viridiplantae; Streptophyta; Bryopsida; Dicranales; Dicranaceae.
GCCGGAAUAGCUCAGUUGGUAGAGCAGAGGACUGAAAAUC